Molecule: transfer RNA, 73 nt
Filed under: Harpegnathos saltator (Jerdon's jumping ant)
Lineage: Eukaryota; Metazoa; Arthropoda; Insecta; Hymenoptera; Formicidae
Rfam family: tRNA
About the family: Transfer RNA (tRNA) molecules are approximately 80 nucleotides in length.
Source: Rfam by way of RNAcentral
UGUCAGGUAGCUUAGUGGUUUAGAGCAGUCGCCCGGCAAGCGAAAGACCCGGGUUCGAUUCCCGAUCUUAGAG